This 2902-nucleotide ribosomal RNA is filed under the name Klebsiella pneumoniae. RNAcentral describes it as "23S ribosomal RNA". It matches the Rfam family "Bacterial large subunit ribosomal RNA". Lineage: Bacteria; Pseudomonadati; Pseudomonadota; Gammaproteobacteria; Enterobacterales; Enterobacteriaceae. The record is from RNAcentral.
GGUUAAGCGACUAAGCGUACACGGUGGAUGCCCUGGCAGUCAGAGGCGAUGAAGGACGUGCUAAUCUGCGAAAAGCGUCGGUAAGGUGAUAUGAACCGUUAUAACCGGCGAUGUCCGAAUGGGGAAACCCAGUGCAAUUCGUUGCACUAUCGUUAACUGAAUACAUAGGUUAACGAGGCGAACCGGGGGAACUGAAACAUCUAAGUACCCCGAGGAAAAGAAAUCAACCGAGAUUCCCCCAGUAGCGGCGAGCGAACGGGGAGCAGCCCAGAGUCUGAAUCAGCUUGUGUGUUAGUGGAACGGUCUGGAAAGUCCGACGGUACAGGGUGAUAGUCCCGUACACCAAAAUGCACAGGUUGUGAACUCGAAGAGUAGGGCGGGACACGUGGUAUCCUGUCUGAAUAUGGGGGGACCAUCCUCCAAGGCUAAAUACUCCUGACUGACCGAUAGUGAACCAGUACCGUGAGGGAAAGGCGAAAAGAACCCCGGCGAGGGGAGUGAAAAAGAACCUGAAACCGUGUACGUACAAGCAGUGGGAGCACCUUCGGGUGUGACUGCGUACCUUUUGUAUAAUGGGUCAGCGACUUAUAUUCUGUAGCAAGGUUAACCGUAUAGGGGAGCCGCAGGGAAACCGAGUCUUAACUGGGCGUUAAGUUGCAGGGUAUAGACCCGAAACCCGGUGAUCUAGCCAUGGGCAGGUUGAAGGUUGGGUAACACUAACUGGAGGACCGAACCGACUAAUGUUGAAAAAUUAGCGGAUGACUUGUGGCUGGGGGUGAAAGGCCAAUCAAACCGGGAGAUAGCUGGUUCUCCCCGAAAGCUAUUUAGGUAGCGCCUCGUGAAUUCAUCUUCGGGGGUAGAGCACUGUUUCGGCUAGGGGGUCAUCCCGACUUACCAACCCGAUGCAAACUACGAAUACCGAAGAAUGUUAUCACGGGAGACACACGGCGGGUGCUAACGUCCGUCGUGAAGAGGGAAACAACCCAGACCGCCAGCUAAGGUCCCAAAGUCAUGGUUAAGUGGGAAACGAUGUGGGAAGGCACAGACAGCCAGGAUGUUGGCUUAGAAGCAGCCAUCAUUUAAAGAAAGCGUAAUAGCUCACUGGUCGAGUCGGCCUGCGCGGAAGAUGUAACGGGGCUAAACCAUGCACCGAAGCUGCGGCAGCGACACUAUGUGUUGUUGGGUAGGGGAGCGUUCUGUAAGCCUGCGAAGGUGACCUGUGAGGGUUGCUGGAGGUAUCAGAAGUGCGAAUGCUGACAUAAGUAACGAUAAAGCGGGUGAAAAGCCCGCUCGCCGGAAGACCAAGGGUUCCUGUCCAACGUUAAUCGGGGCAGGGUGAGUCGACCCCUAAGGCGAGGCCGAAAGGCGUAGUCGAUGGGAAACAGGUUAAUAUUCCUGUACUUGGUGUUACUGCGAAGGGGGGACGGAGAAGGCUAUGUUAGCCGGGCGACGGUUGUCCCGGUUUAAGCAUGUAGGCUGAUUAUCCAGGCAAAUCCGGAUAAUCAAGGCUGAGGUGUGAUGACGAGGCACUACGGUGCUGAAGUAACAAAUGCCCUGCUUCCAGGAAAAGCCUCUAAGCAUCAGGUAACAUCAAAUCGUACCCCAAACCGACACAGGUGGUCAGGUAGAGAAUACCAAGGCGCUUGAGAGAACUCGGGUGAAGGAACUAGGCAAAAUGGUGCCGUAACUUCGGGAGAAGGCACGCUGGUGUGUAGGUGAAGCCCCUGCGGGUGGAGCUGAGACCAGUCGAAGAUACCAGCUGGCUGCAACUGUUUAUUAAAAACACAGCACUGUGCAAACACGAAAGUGGACGUAUACGGUGUGACGCCUGCCCGGUGCCGGAAGGUUAAUUGAUGGGGUUAUCCGUAAGGAGAAGCUCUUGAUCGAAGCCCCGGUAAACGGCGGCCGUAACUAUAACGGUCCUAAGGUAGCGAAAUUCCUUGUCGGGUAAGUUCCGACCUGCACGAAUGGCGUAAUGAUGGCCAGGCUGUCUCCACCCGAGACUCAGUGAAAUUGAACUCGCUGUGAAGAUGCAGUGUACCCGCGGCAAGACGGAAAGACCCCGUGAACCUUUACUAUAGCUUGACACUGAACAUUGAGCCUUGAUGUGUAGGAUAGGUGGGAGGCUUUGAAGCGUGGACGCCAGUCUGCGUGGAGCCAACCUUGAAAUACCACCCUUUAAUGUUUGAUGUUCUAACGUUGGCCCCUUACCGGGGUUGCGGACAGUGUCUGGUGGGUAGUUUGACUGGGGCGGUCUCCUCCCAAAGCGUAACGGAGGAGCACGAAGGUUAGCUAAUCCUGGUCGGACAUCAGGAGGUUAGUGCAAUGGCAUAAGCUAGCUUGACUGCGAGCGUGACGGCGCGAGCAGGUGCGAAAGCAGGUCAUAGUGAUCCGGUGGUUCUGAAUGGAAGGGCCAUCGCUCAACGGAUAAAAGGUACUCCGGGGAUAACAGGCUGAUACCGCCCAAGAGUUCAUAUCGACGGCGGUGUUUGGCACCUCGAUGUCGGCUCAUCACAUCCUGGGGCUGAAGUAGGUCCCAAGGGUAUGGCUGUUCGCCAUUUAAAGUGGUACGCGAGCUGGGUUUAGAACGUCGUGAGACAGUUCGGUCCCUAUCUGCCGUGGGCGCUGGAGAAUUGAGGGGGGCUGCUCCUAGUACGAGAGGACCGGAGUGGACGCAUCACUGGUGUUCGGGUUGUCAUGCCAAUGGCACUGCCCGGUAGCUAAAUGCGGAAGAGAUAAGUGCUGAAAGCAUCUAAGCACGAAACUUGCCCCGAGAUGAGUUCUCCCUGAGACUUUAAGUCUCCUGAAGGAACGUUGAAGACGACGACGUUGAUAGGCCGGGUGUGUAAGCGCAGCGAUGCGUUGAGCUAACCGGUACUAAUGAACCGUGAGGCUUAACCUU